UUUUAUACAAAACAAAAAAAGGAUAAAGUGUAUAAGUGUAUAUCAUCCUCUAUGUGAUCCAGGUGUGGAUUUUUUGUAAAAUUCUGGUGUACUGUGACGGGCUGAUUCGUUGUCAUCAACUUGGGUCAUUUUCGUGGGUGGCCAGGCGUCCGACAAAUAAUUUCUGGAGCUUGAGCGCGUAUGUGCAUAAAGGUUCAAUGCCGGAUAUAUCAUAAAUAAUUCUACGUUCGUAAAUUUCCAAUUCUUUGGCUACUGUCGGGGAGAUAGUGAACCAUAUUGGAAAACCGUAAGUCAACACGGGUCUGAUAGCAACCUUAUAAAGCAAUAAUUUCGUAGCCUGAGGUAAAUGCUUGCUAUUCAAUAUAUAAGAAAAUGAACCUAAUAUCUUUUUCGUUUUUUGUAAUGUUGCUCGAGCGUGGGAAUUAAACUUCAACAUCUUGUCGAAUGUGAUGCCGAGGUACUUGACGCUUUGUUCUAUCGGAAUAUUGACUCCAUCCAAUCUUUAGCCAGGGCAAU
This is a long non-coding RNA of Stomoxys calcitrans (stable fly), 516 nucleotides long. RefSeq lists it as uncharacterized. NCBI's taxonomy places the organism in Eukaryota, Metazoa, Arthropoda, Insecta, Diptera, Muscidae. The transcript has 4 exons. The record is from RefSeq and is a predicted model, not a curated record.